This 71-nucleotide transfer RNA is filed under the name Liparis ochotensis. Its description in RNAcentral is "tRNA-Gln". It matches the Rfam family "tRNA". Rfam says of the family: Transfer RNA (tRNA) molecules are approximately 80 nucleotides in length. Their secondary structure includes four short double-helical elements and three loops (D, anti-codon, and T loops). Further hydrogen bonds mediate the characteristic L-shaped molecular structure. tRNAs have two regions of fundamental functional importance: the anti-codon, which is responsible for specific mRNA codon recognition, and the 3' end, to which the tRNAs corresponding amino acid is attached (by aminoacyl-tRNA synthetases). tRNAs cope with the degeneracy of the genetic code in two manners: having more than one tRNA (with a specific anti-codon) for a particular amino acid; and 'wobble' base-pairing, i.e. permitting non-standard base-pairing at the 3rd anti-codon position. The record is from RNAcentral. Lineage: Eukaryota; Metazoa; Chordata; Actinopteri; Perciformes; Liparidae.
UAGGAAAUAGUGUAGUGGGAGCACUGAGAGUUUUGAUCUCUCCAGGUAGGGUUCGAACCCCUUUUUUCUAA